CUACGGGGGGCUGCAGUGAGGAAUAUUGGUCAAUGGGCGCAAGCCUGAACCAGCCAUGCCGCGUGCAGGAAGAAGGUCCUAUGGAUUGUAAACUGCUUUUAUUUGGGAAUAAACCUAUUUACGUGUAGAUAGCUGAAGGUACCAAAUGAAUAAGCACCGGCUAACUCCGUGCCAGCAGCCGCGGUAAUACGGAGGGUGCAAGCGUUAUCCGGAAUCAUUGGGUUUAAAGGGUCCGCAGGCGGACUUAUAAGUCAGUGGUGAAAGCCUACAGCUCAACUGUAGAACUGCCAUUGAUACUGUAAGUCUUGAAUAUGUUCGGAGUGGGCGGAAUGUGACAUGUAGCGGUGAAAUGCUUAGAUAUGUCACAGAACACCGAUAGCGAAGGCAGCUCACUAGACCAUUAUUGACGCUCAUGGACGAAAGCGUGGGGAGCAAACAGGAUUAGAUACCCUAGUAGUC
RNAcentral lists this ribosomal RNA (459 nucleotides) under uncultured bacterium. Its description in RNAcentral is "partial 16S ribosomal RNA". It matches the Rfam family "Bacterial small subunit ribosomal RNA", at positions 339 to 795 of the family's 1533-position model. The record is from RNAcentral.